AACGAACGCUGGCGGCAUGCCUAACACAUGCAAGUCGAACGAGAUCUUCGGAUCUAGUGGCGCACGGGUGCGUGACACGUGGGAAUCUGCCCUUUGGUUCGGAAUAACUCAGGGAAACUUGAGCUAAUACCGGAUGAUGACGUAAGUCCAAAGAUUUAUCGCCAAAGGAUGAGCCCGCGUAGGAUUAGCUAGUUGGUGAGGUAAAGGCUCACCAAGGCUACGAUCCUUAGCUGGUCUGAGAGGAUGAUCAGCCACACUGGGACUGAGACACGGCCCAGACUCCUACGGGAGGCAGCAGUGGGGAAUAUUGGACAAUGGGGGAAACCCUGAUCCAGCGAUGCCGCGUGAGCGAUGAAGGCCUUAGGGUUGUAAAGCUCUUUUACCCGGGAUGAUAAUGACAGUACCGGGAGAAUAAGCCCCGGCUAACUCCGUGCCAGCCGCCGCCGUAA
This 449-nucleotide ribosomal RNA is filed under the name uncultured bacterium. Its description in RNAcentral is "partial 16S ribosomal RNA". It matches the Rfam family "Bacterial small subunit ribosomal RNA", at positions 29 to 523 of the family's 1533-position model. The record is from RNAcentral.